This 1293-nucleotide ribosomal RNA is filed under the name Didymocyrtis melanelixiae. Its description in RNAcentral is "eukaryotic LSU rRNA". It matches the Rfam family "Eukaryotic large subunit ribosomal RNA", at positions 72 to 1386 of the family's 3401-position model. Lineage: Eukaryota; Fungi; Ascomycota; Dothideomycetes; Pleosporales; Phaeosphaeriaceae. The record is from RNAcentral.
GGAUUGCCCUAGUAACGGCGAGUGAAGCGGCAAUAGCUCAAAUUUGAAAUCUGGCUCUUUUAGAGUCCGAGUUGUAAUUUGCAGAGGGCGCUUUGGCGUUGGCAGCGGUCCAAGUUCUUUGGAACAGGACGUCACAGAGGGUGAGAAUCCCGUACGUGGUCGCUAGCCUUCGCCGUGUAAAGCCCCUUCGACGAGUCGAGUUGUUUGGGAAUGCAGCUCUAAAUGGGAGGUAAAUUUCUUCUAAAGCUAAAUACUGGCCAGAGACCGAUAGCGCACAAGUAGAGUGAUCGAAAGAUGAAAAGCACUUUGGAAAGAGAGUCAAAUAGCACGUGAAAUUGUUGAAAGGGAAGCGCUUGCAGCCAGACUUGCCUGUAGUUGCUUAUCUGGACUUUUGUCCAGUGCACUCUUCUGCGGGCAGGCCAGCAUCAGUUUGGGCGGUUGGAUAAAGGUCUCUGUCAUGUACCUCCCUUCGGGGAGGCCUUAUAGGGGAGACGACAUGCAACCAGCCUGGACUGAGGUCCGCGCAUCUGCUAGGAUGCUGGCGUAAUGGCUGUAAGCGGCCCGUCUUGAAACACGGACCAAGGAGUCUAACAUCUAUGCGAGUGUUUGGGUGUCAAGCCCAGACGCGUAAUGAAAGUGAACGGAGGUGGGAACCUUUUAGGUGCACCAUCGACCGAUCCUGAUGUCUUCGGAAGGAUUUGAGUAAGAGCAUGGCUGUUGGGACCCGAAAGAUGGUGAACUAUGCUUGAAUAGGGUGAAGCCAGAGGAAACUCUGGUGGAGGCUCGCAGCGGUUCUGACGUGCAAAUCGAUCGUCAAAUUUGGGCAUAGGGGCGAAAGACUAAUCGAACUAUCUAGUAGCUGGUUCCUGCCGAAGUUUCCCUCAGGAUAGCAGUAACGUAUUCAGUUUUAUGAGGUAAAGCGAAUGAUUAGAGGCCUGGGGGUUGAAACAACCUUCACCUAUUCUCAAACUUUAAAUAUGUAAGAAGUCCUUGUUACUUGAUUGAACGUGGACACUUGAAUGUACCGUUACUAGUGGGCCAUUUUUGGUAAGCAGAACUGGCGAUGCGGGAUGAACCGAACGCGGGGUUAAGGUGCCAGAAUAUACGCUCAUCAGACACCACAAAAGGUGUUAGUUCAUCUAGACAGCAGGACGGUGGCCAUGGAAGUCGGAAUCCGCUAAGGAGUGUGUAACAACUCACCUGCCGAAUGAACUAGCCCUGAAAAUGGAUGGCGCUCAAGCGUAUUACCCAUACCCCGCCGCCGGGGCAGAAUUUAUGCCCCGGCGAGUAGGC